RNAcentral lists this long non-coding RNA (352 nucleotides) under Nicotiana benthamiana. RNAcentral describes it as "long non-coding RNA (NBEN_LNC002032)". Lineage: Eukaryota; Viridiplantae; Streptophyta; Magnoliopsida; Solanales; Solanaceae. The record is from RNAcentral.
UACGGGAUUCAAUGUUGGAAUUAUUUUCCUAAUCUAUCCAACUAAACGACCCCUUAGUAGCAUCCAAAGAUAUAUAACCGGUCUUAAUCAAUCAAUUUCACAAAGAUAGAGAUUAGGUGACAUUUUUUUCCAGAAUAAACCCCACCCAAUCCUCCAAAAUUGUGUUAGGUCACAGAAACAAUUAACAGGCAGCAGAAAAAUACAAUGUAGCCGCCGGAAACAGAAACAGUCGCCGGAAAAUAAAAAGGUUGUCGGAAUGUGAUGAAACUUGGAGAGUAGAGUCGGAAUUAGUAGGCGAGCAAUCUGUCCUCAAGGAACUUCUCCAAAAAAUGAUCGGAAAAGGUCGUACUCG